Long non-coding RNA from Oncorhynchus tshawytscha (Chinook salmon), 6789 nucleotides. The record is from Ensembl. Lineage: Eukaryota; Metazoa; Chordata; Actinopteri; Salmoniformes; Salmonidae.
UGCUAAUAUUUCUGUACAACAUCUAAUUAUGUUUCCAUGUGAUAACAGUAGCCUAAUAUAUUCAAUAUGCUGCAAACUAUUGGUUUAUUAAAACAGUUUCACUCGAUUCAUUCUAAUCAACCUAAUAGUGAUGACACGCCCCUCGCUGUUGUCAUUGGUUGCUCUAAUAGUGAUGACACGCCCCUCGCUGUUGUCAUUGGUUGCUCUAAUAGUGAUGACACGCCCCUCACUGUUGUCAUUGGUUGCUCUAAUACUGACAUACCCCUCACUGUUGUCAUUGGUUGCUCUAAUAGUUAUGACACGCCCCUCACUGUUGUCAUUGGUUGCUCUAAUACUAAUGACAUACUCCUCACUGUUGUCAUUGGUUGCUCUAAUACUAAUGACAUACUCCUCACUGUUGUCAUUGGUUGCUCUAAUACUAAUGACAUGCCCCUCACUGUUGUCAUUGGUUGCUGUAAUACUAAUGACAUACCCCCUCUGUUGUCAUUGGUUGCUGUAAUACUAAUGACAUACCCCCCACUGUUGUCAUUGGUUGCUCUAAUACUAAUGACAUGCCCCUCACUGUUGUCAUUGGUUGCUCUAAUACUAAUGACAUGCCCCUCACUGUUGUCAUUGGUUGCUCUAAUUUCCUUGUUUGUCAACAUAACCUGGUUCCAGCAUUCAUGACAUCACCCUGAAGAAGAAAAAGUGAUGCUGAAAUGUUGCUGUUGCUGGAUUAAAUACAUUAUUUUCCUCAUCAAUUCUACACACAAAAACCCAUAAUGACAAAGUGAAAACAGAAAUGCUUGCAAAUGUAUUAAAAAAAACAGAUACCUUAUUUACAUAAAUAUUCAGACCCUUUGCUAUGACACUCAACAUUGAGCUCAGGUGCAUCUUGUUUCCAUUGAUCAUCCUUGAGAUGUUUCAACAACUUGAUUGAAGCCCAGCUGUGGUAAAUUCAAAUAGAUGGACAUGAUUUGGAAAGAUACACACCCGUCUAUAUAAGGUCCCACAGUUGACAGUGCGUGUCAGAGCAAAAACCAAGCCAUGAGGUCAAAGGAAGUGUCUGUAGAGCUCAGAGACAGGAUUGUGUCGAGGCACAGAUCUGGGGAAGGGUACCAAAAUAAUUAUUGAACGGAGGAAGUUUGGAACCACCAAGGCUUUUCCUAGAACUGUCCGCCUGGCUAAACUGAGCCAAUGGGGGAGAAGGGUGUUGGUCAGGGAGGUGACCAAGAACCAGAUGGUCACUCAAAGAGCUCCAGAGUUCCUCUGUGGAGAUGGGAGAACCUUCAAGAAGGACAACCAUCUCUGCAGCACUCCACCAAUCUGGCCUUUAUGGUAGAGUGGUCAGACGGAAGCCACUCCUCAGUGAAAGGCACAUGACAGCCCGCUUGGAGUUUGCCUAAAUGCACCUAAAGGACUCUCAGACCAUGAGAAACUAGAUUCUCUGGUCUGAUGAAACCAAGAUUGAACUCUUUGGCCUGAAUGCCAAGCGUCACAUCUGGAGGAAACCUGGCACCAUCCCUACUACGGUGAAGCAUAGUGGUGGCAGCAUUAUGCAGUGGGGAUGUUUUUCAGCAGCAGGGACUGUUCCACAUUGACUUGGUAUUUUACCAAAUAGGGCUAUCUUCUGUAUACCACCCCUACCUUGUCACAACACAACUGAUGGGCUCAAACUAAAUAACAAAUUAACUUUUAACAAGGCACACUUGUUAAUUGAAAUGCAUUCCAGGUGACUACCUCAUGAAGCUGGUUGAGAGAAUGCCAAGAGUGUGCAAAGCUGUCAUCAAGGUAAAGGGUGGCUACUUUGAAGAAUCUCAAAUAUAAAAUAUAUUUUGACUUGUUUAACACUUUUUUUUGGUUACUACAUGAUUCCAUAUGUGUUAUUUCAUAGUUUUGAUGUCUUCACUAUUAUUCUACAAUGUAGAACAUAGUAAAAAUUAAGAAAAACCCUUCAAUGAGUAGGUGUGUCCAAAUUUUUGACUGGUGCUAUAUAUAUGUUUAUGAGUGGGAGACUAUUUUAAUAACCGGUAAGUCGUAUGCAAAUCAUAUAUUAUUGGUGUUUUGAGUCCUCUGACAAUUCUAGCAAAAGCUUGUGUAUUCAUGGGGCUGUAGGUGAGCAGAUGGCUGUGUCAUGUCUGUCCAGGUGAGCUCUCAGCACACCAGUAGCUCCAACAUGUUAACUGAUUGGCAGAUCAUUUGACUGGAGAGUUCUCUUCCUAGCUUUUUAUAAGUGAGUUGUGAUUUGCAUCCCAAGUGGCACCCUAUUCUCUACAUAGUGCACUACUUUUGAUCAGAGUUUGCACCCUAUUCCCUAUGUAGUGCACUACUUUUGACCAGAGUGCUAUGGGAAUAGGGUGCCAUUUCAGAAGCAGACAGUGACUAACACACCUGUAAAUACCACAUGUAUGUUUGAUAGGAAGUGUGACUUCAGACUCAGAGAAGCUAAACCAGUCCUUAUCUCUCCCCUCCAGACCGAUGAGGGGGUCUUCAGGAGGUAGCAAGGAAGGGAACAGUGCACUGAGCUGGGGUAUUAGGCUCUGCAUCGCCCCCCCCCUGGGAGCAACAGACUAUGGAGAGUCUGAGACGGAUGCUUCAGUGAGAAAGCACUGGGGCUGGGUUUAAGGGUAACUACCGUCAAAUUUCCAAGUUAUCUUGCCUUUCCAAACUUUUAGAAUCCCAGGCCAACUCUCAGCUUUUAACUUGUCAUUCUCUUCUAAAUGUGCACCAGUGUGGUUUUAGACCUGGGGACGUAUGUACAGUGCAUUCAGAAAGUAUUCAGACACCUUGACUUUUUCCACAUUUUGUUACGUUACAGACUUAUUCUGAAAUGGAUUUAAAUCAUUUUUUCCCCUCAUCAAUCAACACACAAUAUCCCAUAAUGAAAGUCCCAAAAUGGGUUUUUAAAUAUUUUUGCAAAUUGUAUGAAAAACAUCACAUUUACGUCAGUAUUCACACACUUUACUCGGUACUUUGUUGAAGCACCUUUGGCAGCGAUUACAGCCUCGAGUACUCUUGGGUAUGAAGCUACAAGCUUGGCACACCUGUAUUUGGGGAGUUUCUCCCAUUCUUCUCUGCACAUCCUCAAGCUGUCAGGUUGGAUGGGGAGCGUUGCUGCACAGCUAUUAUCAGUGUCGUGUCUUUGGUUAUGCCGUAUUAAGUGAUAUGACAUGCUAUUCUAUAAAAUCAUUUCUCUGUAAUUAAUAUUACCUGAUUAAGCUAAUCAGGUAAAUUUAAUUAGCUAGAAUGUCGGGGCACCACGAAAGAAUAUUUAUAGAGCUGUUAUCUUCCGAAUAAUCUCUUAAAGACCUAGUAAUCUUUUACAUCAAUAGCAGUCAAUAUUUAAUCGUCACCUUAUUUAGUCUCAUCUGAAAGUGGUAAAUUAUUGGUUAUCUUCACGAACCCUGGCUAAGAAGUUUAAUCAGCAUUACAAAAUUUGGUUUAAUUAUGUAUUUACCAAAUACCUAAAUAAUCACACAGAGUUACAUCUCCACAGAAUGGCUCAUACAUUGAUUACAAAUUAUGUCAUAAAGGAAAACGUCCCUAGCGGACGGAACAGAUAUGACGGCUGGUUACACAAAGAAAGGGGGUUGGGUUUGUGUGAAAGAGCGGGAAGACUGAGUAACAAAGGGAGAAGCUAUCGUAAAUACAGUAUCUUAUGCAUUCUAAAUUACCAACCAUUUGAAAAAGGAAAAUGCAAUAAAUAUUCACUCUGAGCUGCGCUUCGGUAGAUUGGUCAUAGAUAGUAGGCCGGGUUGUCCUUUGAAGAAUGUCUGGUGUUAGAAAGGAUACUAGGUAGUACCGUCAUCGUGUAGUAGAAGAGACACUCUGUCCGUCCUCUCCUAGCCCACGUCUACAGUUGCUGCGCUAAAUGCAAAGGCUAGGAGGUAUCACUUCUUUAGUGAACAAGAGUUGCUGUACUUAAAACUUGUUUGGAAUAGGGGGCAGUAUUUUGACAUCCGGAUGAAAACCGUGCCCAAAGUAAACUGCCUGUUACUCAGGCCCAGAAGCUAGGAUAUGCAUGUAAUUGGUAGAUUUGGAUAGAGAACACUCUAAAGUUUCUAAAACUGUUAACAAAACAUCUGUGAGUAUAACAGAACUGAUAUGGCAGGCAAAACCCAGAGGACAAACCAUCCCAAAACAAAUGUUUUCAGCCUAACACUAUUUUCAAUGGCUGUCACUUUUAUUAUAAGGUGUAGUCCUCCCAGAUUGCAGUUCCCAGGGCUUCCACUAGAUGUCAACAGUCUGUAGAAAGAGUUUCAGACUGGGUUUUGGAAAUUGUAGUUUUUCUAGGUGGCUCCCAUUUUGGCUGUAGUGUUUCCAAGCGCGUGAAUGAGAGCGGGUUCUUUGGUAUUUUUCUCCGGUAGAGACAAUAAUUCUCCGUCUUAAAUUUUAUAGUUUAUUUAGCUAUUAGGGUACCUAAGGUUUGAUUAUAAACGUUGUUUGACUUGUUUGGAAAAGUUUAUUAGUAACGUUUGGGAUUCAUUUUGUAUGCAUUUUGAUGGAAACUGGGUGGAUUAUUGACUGAGUUUUUAUGGAUACAAAGAAGGACAUUAUCGAACAAAAGGACCAUUUGUGAUGUAACUGGGACCUUUUGGAGUGCCAACAGAAGAAGAUCAUCAUAGGGCGCUGUCCUCAGAUAAUCGCAUGGUGUGCUUUCGCCGUAAAGCCUUUUUGAAAUCUGCGGCUGGAUUAACAAGAAGUUCAGCUUUAUUCUGAUGCAUUACACUUCCCCAGAUCUGUGCAUCGACAUAUUCCUGUCUCAGAGCUCUACGGACAAUUCCUUCGACCUCAUGACUUGGUUUUUGCUCUGACAUGCAUUGUCAACUGUGGGACCUUAUAUAGACAGCUGUGUGCCUUUCCAAAUUAUAUCCAAUUCAUAAAAAUCACCACAGGUUGACUCCAAGCAAGUUGUUAAAACGUAUCAAGGAUGGAAACAGAAUGCACCUGAUCUCAAUUUCGAGGCUCAUAGAGAAGGGUGUGAAUACUAAUGUAAAUAAGGUAUUUCAGUUCAUUUGUAAUACAUUGAAAAAAAUAUGUAAAAACCUGUUUUUGCUUUGUUAUUAUGGGGUAUUGUGAUGUCAUUAUGGGGUAUUGUGAUGUCAUUAUGGGGUAUUGUGAUGUCAUUAUGGGGUAUUGUGUGUAGACUGUUUAGAACAAGGCUGUAACGUAACAUAAUGUGGAAGAAGUCAACGGAUAUGAAUACUUUCUGAAUGCCCUGUAUCAACAGAUAUGAAUGCUUUCUGAAUGCCCUGUAUCAACGGAUAUGAAUACUUUCUGAAUGCCCUGUAUCAACGGAUAUGAAUACUUUCUGAAUGCCCUGUAUCAACGGAUAUGAAUACUUUCUGAAUGCCCUGUAUCAACGGAUAUGAAUACUUUCUGAAUGCCCUGUAUCAACGGAUAUGAAUACUUUCUGAAUGCCCUGUAUCAACGGAUAUGAAUACUUUCUGAAUGCCCUGUAUCAACGGAUAUGAAUACAUUCUGAAUGCCCUGUAUCAAGCGUCUUAGAGAAGGAGUGCUGAUCUAGGAUCUGGUUUUCUCUGUCCAUGCAAUCUUAUUCAUUAUGAUAAAUCCUGAUCCUAAAUCAGUACUUCUGCUCUGAGAUGCUCGAUACAUACAGUACCUACAGAAAGUAUUCACGCAGCCUGAAUUUAAAAUGGAUUCAAUUGAGAUGUAUUGUUACUGUCCUAAACACAAUACCCCAUAAUGUCAAAGUGGAAUUAUGUUUUUAGACAUUUUUACAAAUUAAUUAAAAAUGAAAAGCUGAAAUGUCCUGAGUCAAUGACUAUUCAACCCCUUUGUUAUGGCAAGCCUAACUAUAUUCAAGAGUAAAAAUUUGCUUAACAAGUCACAUGGACUCACUCUGUGCGCAAUAAUAGUGUUUAAUUUGUUUUUUUGAAUGACUAUGACUUUUCUCUGUACCCCCCACACAACUAUCUAUCUGUAAGGUCCUUCAGUCAAGCAGUGAAUUUAAAACACAGAUUCAACCUCAAAUACCAGGGAGGUUAUUCAAUGCCUUGCAACGAACGCCACCUAUUAUUUUUUUUUUUAAAUCAGAUAUGAAAUAUCCCUUUGAGCAUGGUGAAGUUAUUAAUUACGCUUUGGAUGGUGUGUCAAUACACCCAGUCACUACAAAGAUGCAGGCGCCCUUCCUAUCUUAGUUGCCAGAGAGGAAGGAAUCAGCACAGGGAUUUCACCUUGAAAACAGUUAGAGUUUAAUGGCUGUGAUAGGAAGAAACUGAGGAUGGAUCAACAACAUUGUAGUUACUCCACAAUACCGACCUAAAUGACAGAGGGAAAAUAACAAAGCCUGUACAAAACAUGCAUCCUGUUUGCAACAUUGCACAAAAAGUAAAACUGCAAAAAAUGUGGCAAAGCAAAUAGCUUUGUCUUGAAUACAAAGUGCAAUGUUUGGAGCAAAUCCAAUACAUUACUGAGUAUCACUCCUUAUAUUUUCAAGCAUAGUGGUGGCCGUAUCAUUUUAUGGGUAUUCUUGUAAUCGUUAAGGACCUGGGAGUGUUUCAGGAUUUAAAAAAAGAAAUGAUCAGCCUUGUCAGCCUUGUCUCAGGAUGGUAAGUUGGUGGUUGAAGAUAUCCCGCUAGUGGUGUGGGGGCUGUGCUUUGGCAAAGUGGGUGGGGUUAUAUCCUUCCUGUUUGGCCCUGUCCGGGGGUGUCCUCGGAUGGGGCCACAGUGUCUCCUGACCCCUCCUGUCUCAGCCUCCAGUAUUUAUGCUGCAGUAGUUUAUGUGUCGGGGGGCUGGGGUCAGUUUGUUAUAUCUGGAGUACUUCUCCUGUCCUAUUCGGUGUCCUG